AACACGUGGAGAACGUGCCCUUAAGUGGGGGAUAAUCUCGGGAAAUUGAGGAUAAUACCCCAUAGAUCAUGAGAUCUGGAAUGACUCAUGGUUCAAAGUUCCGGCGCUUAAGGAUCGCUCUGCGGCCUAUCAGGUAGUAGUGGGUGUAAAGUACCCCCUAGCCUACGACGGGUAUGGGCCUUGAGAGAGGGAGCCCAGAGUUGGAUUCUGAGACACGAAUCCAGGCCCUACGGGGCGCAGCAGUCGCGAAAACUUCACACUGGGGGGAACCCCGAUGAGGGAAAUCCUAGUGCUAGGACAUUUGUUCUAGCUUUUCUCAAGCGUAGAUAACUUGAGGAAUAAGGGCUGGGUAAGACGGGUGCCAGCCGCCGCGGUAAUACCUGCAGCCCAAGUGGUGGUCGAUUUUAUUGAGUCUAAAACGUUCGUAGCCGGUUUGGUAAAUCUUUGGGUAAAUCGGGAGGCUCAACUUUCCGACUUCCGAAGAGACUGCCAAACUUGGGACCGGGAGAGGCUAGAGGUACUUCUGGGGUAGGGGUAAAAUCCUGUAAUCCUAGAAGGACCACCGGUGGCGAAGGCGUCUAGCUAGAACGGAUCCGACGGUGAGGGACGAAGCCCUGGGUCGCAAACGGGAUUAGAUACCCCGGUAGUCCAGGGUGUAAACGCUGCAGACUUGGUGUUGGAGGCAAUUCGGUUGCAUUCAGUGCCGGAGAGAAGUUGUUAAGUCUGCUACUUGGGGAGUACGUCCGCAAGGAUGAAACUUAAAGGAAUUGGCGGGGGAGCACAAUCUCCAGUC
This 793-nucleotide ribosomal RNA is filed under the name uncultured archaeon. Its description in RNAcentral is "bacterial SSU rRNA". It matches the Rfam family "Archaeal small subunit ribosomal RNA", at positions 95 to 890 of the family's 1478-position model. The record is from RNAcentral.